This 1474-nucleotide ribosomal RNA is filed under the name Triticum aestivum (bread wheat). Its description in RNAcentral is "partial small subunit ribosomal RNA". The record is from RNAcentral. Lineage: Eukaryota; Viridiplantae; Streptophyta; Magnoliopsida; Poales; Poaceae.
AGAGCACCGACCGCCCACUGCGUGCCUUAUCUCAUCGCCAUUCCUCUCCUUCUCUUAUCCAAAUAGCCAUUCCUCCUCAUCCUAACCCAGCUCCGGCGCUCUUCCUCUUCUCCGUCCAACCCAGCCAAAAUAGCGACACGUGCGCGGGGCCGCGGUGGCUGGCCAGGAAGCACUCCCUAAUCGGCGAGGAACCCAGAGGACGCCGUGGCUGGCGCCUUGGAGCUGCUCUGCCGUCGGCCUGAUCUGGCCGUCCGCCCCAGUCGCCGGCCCCGUGCUCCGGAUCAGGCCAGCAGCCUCGCCUCCGACCCGAUUCGAACCGCACAACCUUCGCCACCUCCGCCAUGCCCCAGAGGUUCGGCUGAUCCCGCGUCGCUCAUUCUCCCUUCUUUCUCUGCUCGCGGCUCGCGUUGACUUCGAGAGGCCAUAGGCCUCGUCCAGCCGCAUCCUCUCACUGCCUUGCUCCUCCACCACCACUCCUCCCCUUCUUCCUCCCCUUCCUGCCAGCCAGGGCACUCUCCCUCUCCCACCUCCCUUCGCCGCAGGACUCCAUGAGGAGUGCGCGGAUGCGGGUGUCUUGGCCAGUAGCAACAGUUGCGGCAGUUCCGCGCCGGGAGAAGCCUCGCACUGGGCGAUGUGGAGGACGACGACCUGCUGCUUCCUCAGUCGCGCGUCCUCCUCCGCGUCGUGGAGAGACGGCCAUGGCCGGCCGAUGCCCGAGCGUCGCCGGCCAAGGACCCGCCGGCGUCCAGACCCCCACCACGCCAUUCCCAUCUCGCCUAGACCUGCACAAGUCCCAUCUAGUGCCCGCGCCAUUCUUCGGCCCCCGGCCCGCAGCUCUGCAGCCCGAUCUCUUCAGCCGCCUCACGUCCAAAGCAGAGGAGAGGAGCUCCCUGCGACGAGCCUCUCCAGCGCCCAGCAAACCACCAGGCCGUCCCAGCCUCCUUCUCGCUUCGGCAUGAACGCACGGCCGUCGCGACGGCUCGCCGCAUUCCUGGCCUCGGGCGGCGCGGACGCCCGCUGCGACGCAUCACCCCUUCCUUGGCUCCUGCGGCGUGGACGCCAAUGGCAAGCGGCAGCGCUUGCCCGGCGGUGGAGAACGCAAAUGGAUAAGCGGUGCAGGGGUGUUUUUUGCAAAAACGAAGCGUUUUCUCGGAUACCCACUUAAAAUAGGACUGCGGGUUGAAUACUCAGAAACGGAGGUUUUUUUUUGCAAAAGUGACGACAACGUACGACCAGAAGCACUCCGUGCUUUAUUAGUAGGGAAAGAUUAUUAUUAUUAUUAUUAUUACUAGCACAAACGCCCGUGCGUUGCAUCGGGUGAAAAAAAAACCCACACUUCCCUAACCCAAUUGCUCAAGACCCCCUCUCAUUCCACGACACAACGCCAGGCAUGAUGGGAUGAAUAAACUCUUUGAAAUCGGCUGCCAUGAAAAUAUAUAUUGUAGAAAAAAUAUGCAUGUAUUUCGGUUUUCAG